Long non-coding RNA from Cavia porcellus (domestic guinea pig), 635 nucleotides. RefSeq lists it as uncharacterized. The record is from RefSeq and is a predicted model, not a curated record. Lineage: Eukaryota; Metazoa; Chordata; Mammalia; Rodentia; Caviidae. The transcript is spliced from 3 exons.
GAGCGGUUGAGAGGGAAAGGUUACAGUGAGUUUCAGCUCCAGCCAGCUCCUGGCAGCUGCAAGUGGAUUUAUGUGUGUCACCAUGAGAAGGUGGGCUCUGAGCUGAAGGCAGAAUAGCAUCUUUAUCCUGAGGAUUCUAAAUGAUGUGGUCAAACUUCCUGUUACCAAGACUAAGACAACUGACAUCUUGGGACCCUGGGAUCUGGAGGUGGCAACCACCUGUUGGGGAUGGGAAGACAGGCCUGUCUUUCUACCUUGCUGAUCAUGGAACCACUGGGGCUACCCCUACACACACCACUUGGAAAAUAAGUUAAAACAAUGAUGUUCACUCUGAAUCACCACCAACACAACAUCUGGGAAGACUGUGGCGGUGUGGCGGACAGGCAGGGAGAUAAUCACAAAACUGCGGCAGCUGGAAAGCAGAUGGACUUGGCAGACCAGGGAGGCUAAAGCUAAGCUGGCCACUGGAAGGUACAGAAAUUGGAGACCCAGGCAUUUUGGAAGAGAUGAAGGGGGCUAAAGCCAGAAAAACUGGAAGUCUAAAAUGCAGGGCAGAUGGAGUAUUAGAUGAUUAUUAAUAAAUUACUAUUAAUUUUACAACAUAUUUUGCUAACACUUUAAAAAAAAAACUGUCU